AUUGAACGCUGGCGGCAUGCCUUACACAUGCAAGUCGAACGGCAGCACGGGAGCAAUCCUGGUGGCGAGUGGCGAACGGGUGAGUAAAGUAUCGGAACGUGCCCAGUCGUGGGGGAUAACGUAGCGAAAGUUACGCUAAUACCGCGUACGAUCUAUGGAUGAAAGCGGGGGAUCGCAAGACCUCGCGCGAUUGGAGCGGCCGAUAUCAGAGUAGGUAGUUGGUGGGGUAAAGGCUCACCAAGCCGACGAUCUGUAGCUGGUCUGAGAGGACGACCAGCCACACUGGGACUGAGACACGGCCCAGAGUCCUACGGGAGGAAGCAGUGGGGAAUUUUGGACAAUGGGCGCAAGCCUGAUCCAGCCAUGCCGCGUGCAGGAUGAAGGCCUUCGGGUUGUAAACUGCUUUUGUACGGAACGAAAAGGUUUGGCUUAAUACGUUGAACUCAUGACGGUGCCGUAAGAAUAAGCACCGGCUAACUACGUGCCAGCCGCCGCAGUAA
Molecule: ribosomal RNA, 500 nt
Filed under: uncultured bacterium
Lineage: Bacteria
Description: partial 16S ribosomal RNA
Rfam family: Bacterial small subunit ribosomal RNA
Source: RNAcentral